GUUCACAGUGAGCCGCCGAGGAAGAUGAGUGCAGCCAUUUCUCAGUUCUGUGAAGGCUCCGAUAGAUUUGAAGCUAAAGGCAGCUCCAUUGUGGUGCAUUCAUCUCUCAAAGAAGAGCAUGUGUAAUAUUCAAGGGAAACCACCUGGGCAAAUGGAGACAGAAGGAUCAUUUGCCACAGGGUCAGCAGAAACCCACAUAACUAGAAAAAACUCCUCAAGAAAGCAGUGAAAGAUACAGAGGAGAUACUUGUGUAAGGAAAAGAACCCCUGCUAAGUGCUUGCUGGCUCAACGGAGAAACAUAUACCCAACCAUGGAAAUCCCCAGUGCAGAAGAUGAGCAUGCCGGACAAAUGGUGGUGAGGAUGAGGAUGUAGGGGAUGAUGAUGCAUGGGGACCCACCUGGAGGAGGAUUGGUGCGCCGUUCAUUAACUCUCAGUGUGCCGUUGUGAGUGGUGGUGUCGUCUUCGUCGCUGGAGUGGGAGGAGGCCAAGUCAAGGGAGCGGUGGUCCAGGCUCAGCUCACUUUCACUUUCACUCUCCUUACGUCUCAUGGCCCGGACACCUGCGGCUGAGGAAAUUUGACAUCAGAGGCUUAGUAUGAGACUGGGAAUUGAGAUCAGUGUUGGAGUUAUAGUUACUUGGAGUGCUGGAAGAGGCUCCCACCCCCCUGGGCCCUGCUGCUGCACGUUCUCCCCUGCUGUAUGGCGAACUAGAGGUCUUGCAAGUGGAGCGGGAGGUGGUGCUGGCCGUGGAGAUGCCAAUGUUGCGGCGCAGGAUGUUGAAGUCAUCGUUGUACGUUAGUGCUGACCUCUGUGUAGGAGUAAGGGCACGGAACAUGAAGUAGAGGGAAUCCCGCACUCUGCUAUUGAGGAGGCAGUAACCCACCAAGAUGAACACUGCCGUCAGGAGGGAGAACACCGAAAAGAAGUAGUGGAGGAUCUCCAGAUUUUCUGAGACGGAGAGGACAGCGAGAAC
Molecule: long non-coding RNA, 974 nt
Organism: Eriocheir sinensis (Chinese mitten crab)
Lineage: Eukaryota; Metazoa; Arthropoda; Malacostraca; Decapoda; Varunidae
Exons: 5
Source: RefSeq, a predicted model, not a curated record